UCCCGGGUAGCUCAGUUGGUAGAGCGGUCGGCUGUUAACCGAUUGGUCGCAGGUUCGAGUCCUGCCCCGGGAGCCA
RNAcentral lists this transfer RNA (76 nucleotides) under Deltaproteobacteria bacterium. RNAcentral describes it as "tRNA-Asn". It matches the Rfam family "tRNA". From Rfam's summary of the family: Transfer RNA (tRNA) molecules are approximately 80 nucleotides in length. Their secondary structure includes four short double-helical elements and three loops (D, anti-codon, and T loops). The record is from RNAcentral. Lineage: Bacteria; Pseudomonadati; Myxococcota; Myxococcia.